Molecule: ribosomal RNA, 376 nt
Filed under: uncultured Gammaproteobacteria bacterium
Lineage: Bacteria; Pseudomonadati; Pseudomonadota; Gammaproteobacteria
Description: bacterial SSU rRNA
Rfam family: Bacterial small subunit ribosomal RNA
Source: RNAcentral
UAAUACGGAGGGUGCAAGCGUUAAUCGGAAUUACUGGGCGUAAAGCGUUCGUAGGCGGUUAUUUAAGUUAGAUGUGAAAGCCCCGGGCUUAACCUGGGAACUGCAUUUAAAACUGGGUAACUAGAGUUUAGGAGAGGGAAGUGGAAUUUCAGGUGUAGCAGUGAAAUGCGUAGAGAUCUGAAGGAACACCAGUGGCGAAGGCGACUUCCUGGACUAAAACUGACGCUGAGGAACGAAAGCGUGGGUAGCAAACGGGAUUAGAUACCCCGGUAGUCCACGCCCUAAACGAUGUUCACUAGUCGUCGGAAUGCUAGUCAUUUCGGUGAUGCACUUAACAGAUUAAGUGAACCGCCUGGGGAGUACGGUCGCAAGAUUA